This 136-nucleotide small nuclear RNA is filed under the name Salmo trutta (river trout). RNAcentral's name for it is "U2 spliceosomal RNA (ENSSTUG00000004202.1)". It matches the Rfam family "U2 spliceosomal RNA". Rfam says of the family: U2 is a small nuclear RNA (snRNA) component of the spliceosome (involved in pre-mRNA splicing). The record is from RNAcentral. Lineage: Eukaryota; Metazoa; Chordata; Actinopteri; Salmoniformes; Salmonidae.
AUUCUUUUUUCUAAUAAAAAUCUGUUCUUAUCAGUUUAAUAUCUGAUACGUCCCCCAUCGGGGGACUACAUAUUAAAUGGAUCCGCUCCACGCAUCGACCCGGUAUUGCAGUACCUCCGGGAACGGUGCAACACUU